GGGUUAGUAACGCGUGGGAACGUACCCUUUUCUACGGAAUAGCCUCGGGAAACUGAGAUUAAUACCGUAUACGCCCCCUGGGGGAAAGAUUUAUCGGAGAAGGAUCGGCCCGCGUUAGAUUAGAUAGUUGGUGGGGUAAUGGCCUACCAAGUCUACGAUCUAUAGCUGGUUUGAGAGGAUGAUCAGCAACACUGGGACUGAGACACGGCCCAGACUCCUACGGGAGGCAGCAGUGGGGAAUCUUAGACAAUGGGCGCAAGCCUGAUCUAGCCAUGCCGCAUGAGUGAAGAAGGCCUUAGGGUCGUAAAGCUCUUUCAGUGGGGAAGAUAAUGACGGUACCCACAGAAGAAACCCCGGCUAACUCCGUGCCAGCAGCCGCGGUAAUACGGAGGGGGUUAGCGUUGUUCGGAAUUACUGGGCGUAAAGCGUACGUAGGCGGAUCAGCAAGUUAGGGGUGAAAUCCCGGGGCUCAACCUCGGA
RNAcentral lists this ribosomal RNA (480 nucleotides) under uncultured prokaryote. RNAcentral describes it as "bacterial SSU rRNA". It matches the Rfam family "Bacterial small subunit ribosomal RNA", at positions 104 to 619 of the family's 1533-position model. The record is from RNAcentral.